Long non-coding RNA from Neopelma chrysocephalum (saffron-crested tyrant-manakin), 1438 nucleotides. RefSeq lists it as uncharacterized. The record is from RefSeq and is a predicted model, not a curated record. Lineage: Eukaryota; Metazoa; Chordata; Aves; Passeriformes; Pipridae. The transcript has 4 exons.
CAGUAUUUGGGGAUAAUUGGCUCCAAGUGGCCAUUGCUCUUUUUGUACACACCCAGCAAAUCCAAGGCAUCUCUUCCUAAGCGAUCCGCAUGCUAAAGCUUGGUCUGUACCUCUCAAAGGAGAACUCCUGGCUGGUUAACAGACAGGAGUUGGAAUGACAGUCAGAAGACAGAGUAGUGACUCCACGGAGAACCUGUGGCUUCCCAACUGCUGCUGUGCCCACCAGCCCACACUGCUUCUCUCAUCACCUCCUCAGCUGUUCCCACUCUGCAGGGACAGGCAGUCCAAGGGUAGAAGGCUGAGCUGGAAAAAACAGAAGUGACAGCCAUCAGCCCCCACAGGGAUCUGCUUGGAGCUGAGACACAUGGAUGCCUUCUAAUCUGGAGAUAAAUUUCUUCCCUGGCAUCCAGCAGCCUCCCUGGGAAUGGAGCAGCAAAUAGACUGCAGGUAAAGGUGUGUUAGCUGGUGUUGGAUCCAGCAGCAUCUGCAGGGAUGUCUGCUUGGAAACCUCUUGCACCUCUGUUCCAAUGGCACAGACACGUUUCUCAAAGUCUGAAAAGGAAGCUAAGUCCAUAAUCUGCAUACUCCUCCCGUACUCUUGCAUCAGUUUAUUCUGAAGUGGGAAUUAGAAAUAAGGAACUAUGAACCACCUGUCUUUACCCAGAAUCUGGCCUAACCUCUGAGAAAUAACCUUCAAAAGAGCUUUACAGGUUUCUUAUGGGUUUCUCUAUAGCUUAAAAUCAUCAGGGCAGCCUGUACCAUGUGCAGAGAAAGAAGUUAGCCCAUUCCAAAUGGGAAUUAAGAUGCAAUUUAUAUGCCCACUUCAGAUGCUGUGAGCCUGCCACCCAUGCUGAACCUGUGGAAGUACUUGGUACUGAAGCAUAGGAGUGAAAAUGUUUCCAAGAACUGAGAUGCUUUGCUCCUAAAUAUUCAAAAUUGCAUUUUCAAGAGUAACAAGCACAUAAGACAACUGUCUGUGUCUGAGCUCACUCAAAUUUGGUAACCUCAGGCUGCCUUCACCAUACAUGCUCUCCCCAGGGCUCAGCCCAGGAGCCAGUUGUUUGUCCUUGUGCAUAAGAAUAUAUUCUUCUAAUUCUGUGGUCCCGUGGGACCACAAUCCUGUGGUUGCUACUGACUUCUACCACAUCCACUAUCUAGGAUGAAGUAAUAAAUGUAUUUUUAUGCAGUAUUGAUGGUCCACCCUGGUAUCUCCAUGAGGCAAAGAUACAAGAAGAGGGCAGGCAUCUCUUUACACUGCUGACCUGGUGUGAAUACCAGCAAAUAGCUAUAUAUUUUUGGAUACAGCACAGGCAAGAAAUAAGAGUAAAUGAGGCCUGCAAGGACUAAUGCUCAAAAUAUCACGCAAGUGUAAAUUAAACUUUCCUACAAUGAGGGGGAAAUGAGACACAGAUGAGAUAAACUGAUCAACUUUUAAGCU